CCCACUUAGAAUUUAGUUAGAAAUUGAAACCGGAGUAGAAGAGCAGCGAAAAUUCUGAAAUUAGGGCGGCAAAAAACGAAGCGGGAUUCCGAUUGAUUUUCACGUUGCUUGUUUCAUCGACGAAUCCGACAUUGAACGUGAUUGCUCCUCCAGUCCAUCUUCUCCAUCUCCGAAACCGAGUAUGGUAUGAAUUUUUGGUUGGAAUUUAGUUGUUUAAUUUGAGCUGAAACUUUAGUCACCAAUUAUAUGUAUAGAAUGUUAAGCAUUGCUGGGCAUGGAAAUUUCAGAAUUUUGGUUGGAAUUUUGUUGAAGGUUUAAGCUGAAAUUUUUAAUCACCGGUCACCAGUACCUAUAUCUUUCACGUCUCGGUCUCUCUUACAAAAUAUUCCAAAAUUUAUUUCCAGUAAUGCAUGAUUGUUCUCUAGCAUCACCCUUUUGUGCAUUACCAGGUGAGAAGGGUUCUAAAAGGUCGGGGAAAGUUUAUUUGUCUUACCUUAGCAAAUCACGUAGGAGUGGUGAUUUUCCAUAGUUUAUAUAUGAUGAAUAUUUUUAUAUUUUUCUGUUCCCUAAUGUAUUCAUAAUUAUAAUUAACAUCAUUUGCAUAACGGCUAAUGCAGAGAGUUAAGUUUUGUUUUCAUUAUAUGAAAUUCUUGCAGAACUACAAUUUUCGGCAAAUGCUCAGCUCCCGCAGUCUCUUUGUGCUUCCGGCGUCGUCACAUCUCUGGCAAUCGCUCAACUCCAGUACUAUUAGGGGCUAAAUAACGAAGAAGAGCUCUUGAUUUUUGUGAAUGUGAAUGUGAAUGUGGCAGUUAGCUAGGGAAAAUGGACGAACAUGGCAUGAUUAGUGGGUUAUGUCGAACUAGUUAUGUUAAGUUAAAUAGCUGCAAGGUCAAAAUCUUAAUUUGUUAUUUUAGUGUAGUGCAAUGAAUUGGUAGAUUUUGGUUGAAAUGGAUGACUUACUUCAGGUACCUUGUCUUACUAGCACAUUGAAUGUUUGGUUAAUUAUAAUAACAAGAGUUUGGAG
RNAcentral lists this long non-coding RNA (1024 nucleotides) under Olea europaea (common olive). RNAcentral's name for it is "long non-coding RNA (OEUR_LNC002494)". Lineage: Eukaryota; Viridiplantae; Streptophyta; Magnoliopsida; Lamiales; Oleaceae. The record is from RNAcentral.